AUGAACGCUCGCGGCGUGCCUAAUACAUGCAAGUCGAGCGAACGGACGAGAAGCUUGCUUUUCUGAUGUUAGCGGCGGACGGGUGAGUAACACGUGGAUAACCUACCUAUAAGACUGGGAUAACUUCGGGAAACCGGAGCUAAUACCGGAUAAUAUUUUGAACCGCAUGGUUCAAAAGUGAAAGACGGUCUUGCUGUCACUUAUAGAUGGAUCCGCGCUGCAUUAGCUAGUUGGUAAGGUAACGGCUUACCAAGGCAACGAUGCAUAGCCGACCUGAGAGGGUGAUCGGCCACACUGGAACUGAGACACGGUCCAGACUCCUACGGGAGGCAGCAGUAGGGAAUCUUCCGCAAUGGGCGAAAGCCUGACGGAGCAACGCCGCGUGAGUGAUGAAGGUCUUCGGAUCGUAAAACUCUGUUAUUAGGGAAGAACAUAUGUGUAAGUAACUGUGCACAUCUUGACGGUACCUAAUCAGAAAGCCACGGCUAACUACGUG
This 496-nucleotide ribosomal RNA is filed under the name uncultured bacterium. RNAcentral's name for it is "partial 16S ribosomal RNA". It matches the Rfam family "Bacterial small subunit ribosomal RNA", at positions 29 to 507 of the family's 1533-position model. The record is from RNAcentral.